RNAcentral lists this ribosomal RNA (429 nucleotides) under bacterium. RNAcentral's name for it is "partial 16S ribosomal RNA". It matches the Rfam family "Bacterial small subunit ribosomal RNA", at positions 355 to 776 of the family's 1533-position model. The record is from RNAcentral.
UAGGGAAUCUUCCACAAUGGACGCAAGUCUGAUGGAGCAACGCCGCGUGAGUGAAGAAGGUUUUCGGAUCGUAAAGCUCUGUUGUUGGUGAAGAAGGAUAGAGGCAGUAACUGGUCUUUAUUUGACGGUAAUCAACCAGAAAGUCCCGGCUAACUACGUUCCAGCAGCCGCUGUAAUACGUAGGUGGCAAGCGUUGUCCGGAUUUAUUGGGCGUAAAGCGAGCGCAGGCGGAAUGAUAAGUCUGAUGUGAAAGCACACGGCUCAACCGUGGAACUGCAUAGGAAACUGUCAUUCUUGAGUGCAGAAGAGGAGAGUGGAAUUCCAUGUGUAGCGGUGGAAUGCGUAGAUAUAUGGAAGAACACCAGUGGCGAAGGCGGCUCUCUGGGCGGCAAAUGACGCUGAGGCUCGAAAGCAUGGGUAGAGAACAGG